Molecule: ribosomal RNA, 215 nt
Filed under: uncultured bacterium
Lineage: Bacteria
Description: partial 16S ribosomal RNA
Rfam family: Bacterial small subunit ribosomal RNA
Source: RNAcentral
CAUAGGAAUCUGCCUAGUAGUGGGGGACAACCUGGUGAAAACCAGGCUAAUACCGCAUACGACCUACGGGUGAAAGAGGGGGAUCUUCGGACCUCUUGCUAUUAGAUGAGCCUAUGUCUGAUUAGCUUGUUGGUGAGGUAAUGGCUCACCAAGGCGACGAUCAGUAGCUGGUCUGAGAGGAUGAUCAGCCACACUGGGACUGAGACACGGCCCAG